AGGGAGUCUAUGAGACCCCAAUUGUAAUAUACCGGAUUCUUAAUAUAAAAGUAAGUGUAAAUAAAAAUAGUGUAAGAUACUAUUUUUAUUAGAUUUAAAGAAGUAAAAUAUAAGUCAGAAAUGACUUGUGCUGAAAUUGGAAUGGAAACAUAAGAUUUAGAAUUUUCUGUAAAGAACGGGGCUGAUAUUUUAGCAGAAAAUUCACAGUGUCAGAAACUUAUGAAAAUUGAAGAAUACGUCGGAAUUAUUUUUAUAAGGCGAGAUUUAAAGUUUCAUAUUAUUCCGACACCCGAAAAGUGGAAAAUAAAAUUUGACUGCUAUUUGCUAGAGAUUUUAGUCAGUAAAGCUUUCGGUGACAAAAAAUGGUUCAAAACUGAAAAGUUAAGAUAUCGUUCUUCUUAUUAAUUUUAACCAAGCUUGAUUGUUAAAUUUGAGCUCAAACGGAAUUCAAAAGGGCUCCGGCGAAAAGUAUCAGAUUCUGAACUGGACUAAAUUAUAAGUAGUAUGUGUUAGGGGGCCUAAAUGUG
This 527-nucleotide long non-coding RNA is filed under the name Ananas comosus (pineapple). RNAcentral describes it as "long non-coding RNA (ACOM_LNC026858)". Lineage: Eukaryota; Viridiplantae; Streptophyta; Magnoliopsida; Poales; Bromeliaceae. The record is from RNAcentral.